UCAUGGCUCAAGACGAUUGCUAGCGGCGUGCUUAACACAUGCAAGUCGAACGAUGAAAUCGGUGCUUCGCACCGUGGAUUAUCGGCGAACGGGCGAGUAAUACGUCGAGUCGACCUACCUUUGACUCUGGGAUAAGCCUGGGAAACUGGGUCUAAUACCGGAUACGACCAAUCUCUGCAUGGGGUGUUGGUGGAAAGCGUUAUGGAGUGGUUUUAGAUGGGCUCACGGCCUAUCAGCUUGUUGGUGAGGUAAUGGCUUACCAAGGCGACGACGGGUAGCCGGCCUGAGAGGGUGACCGGCCACACUGGGACUGAGACACGGCCCAGACUCCUACGGGAGGCAGCAGUGGGGAAUAUUGCACAAUGGGCGCAAGCCUGAUGCAGCGACGCCGCGUGAGGGAUGACGGCCUUCGGGUUGUAAACCUCUGUUAGCAUCGAAGAAGCGAAAGUGACGGUAGGUGCAGAGAAAGCGCCGGCUAACUACGUGCCAGCAGCCGCGGUAAUACGUAGGGCGCGAGCGUUGUCCGGAAUUAUUGGGCGUAAAGAGCUUGUAGGCGGUUGGUCGCGUCUGCUGUGAAAGGCCGGGGCUUAACUCCGGUUUUGCAGUGGGUACGGGCUAACUAGAGUGCAGUAGGGGAGACUGGAAUUCCUGGUGUAGCGGUGGAAUGCACAGAUAUCAGGAGGAACACCGAUGGCGAAGGCAGGUCUCUGGGCUGUAACUGACGCUGAGAAGCGAAAGCAUGGGGAGCGAACAGGAUUAGAUACCCUGGUAGUCCAUGCCGUAAACGUUGGGCACUAGGUGUGGGGGACAUUCCACGUUUUCCGCGCCGUAGCUAACGCAUUAAGUGCCCCGCCUGGGGAGUACGGCCGCAAGGCUAAAACUCAAAGGAAUUGACGGGGGCCCGCACAAGCGGCGGAGCAUGCGGAUUAAUUCGAUGCAACGCGAAGAACCUUACCAAGGCUUGACAUGCAUUAGAUCGCGUCAGAGAUGGCGUUUCCCUUCGGGGCUGGUGUACAGGUGGUGCAUGGUUGUCGUCAGCUCGUGUCGUGAGAUGUUGGGUUAAGUCCCGCAACGAGCGCAACCCUCGUUCUAUGUUGCCAGCGGUUCGGCCGGGGACUCAUAGGAGACGGCCGGGGUCAACUCGGAGGAAGGUGGGGAUGACGUCAAAUCAUCAUGCCCCUUAUGUCUUGGGCUUCACGCAUGCUACGAAUGGCCGGUACAGAGGGUUGCGAUACUGUGAGGUGGAGCUAAUCCCUUAAAGCCGGUCUCAGUUCGGAUUGGGGUCUGCAAACUCGACCCCGUGAAGUCGGAGUCGCUAGUAAUCGCAGAUCAGCAAACGCUGCGGUAAAUACGUUUCCCGGGCCUUGCACACACCCGCCCGUCA
Molecule: ribosomal RNA, 1384 nt
Filed under: uncultured bacterium
Lineage: Bacteria
Description: 16S ribosomal RNA
Rfam family: Bacterial small subunit ribosomal RNA
Source: RNAcentral